Helicoverpa zea (corn earworm) is the source of this 599-nucleotide long non-coding RNA. RefSeq lists it as uncharacterized. NCBI's taxonomy places the organism in Eukaryota, Metazoa, Arthropoda, Insecta, Lepidoptera, Noctuidae. The transcript is spliced from 2 exons. The record is from RefSeq and is a predicted model, not a curated record.
UGAUACAAAUUAAACUAUCCGAAUGGUCUGUAACUAGUUUGUUUUAUAAUUUAGCUGCAGGUCUGUGAACAUUUUCCUGUAAUGAAUGUGUGAACAGGGUUCAACAGUAGCAACUAUUGUUAUUUAUUAUAAUUCUAAUUGUCAUCUGAAAACAACGUCGUAGUGUACAGAUUUAUUUCAUUUUAUAAACCAUAUUCUGUUUGUGUUUAUCGAAAGACUACUCUAAGCGGCAAAAGAUGAGAGCUGUGAUGAUAUUACUGACGCUGAGCAUCACAGCGUGCGACAUGUGCGUCCGCGGCGCGUCGGACGACAUCCCCGUGACAUUAGCCGGCGCCGCGCCCGCAGACAUACUGCUGUACCUCUACGACGUCGUGCUCACUCCCCACAUGCUCACUGAUACCAAUGGAGAAGGAGGGCCGGUUAUUAAAUCGGACCUUUGUCGUAACGGUAAACCUCCCACGAAAGAAGGUCAUUGUCCAGACAUCAUGAAUGACGAUUAUUAAUAUAUGUCCUCACAUCAUAGACUAUUAUGAAGACACAAGUGAAUUAUUUUUAUUAACAAUAAAAGUUUGUUUCAUCCUUUAGUCUAUAAAACAUAA